This 1431-nucleotide ribosomal RNA is filed under the name Oenococcus oeni. RNAcentral's name for it is "bacterial LSU rRNA". It matches the Rfam family "Bacterial large subunit ribosomal RNA", at positions 1480 to 2925 of the family's 2925-position model. Lineage: Bacteria; Bacillati; Bacillota; Bacilli; Lactobacillales; Lactobacillaceae. The record is from RNAcentral.
GGAUAACACAGGCCACUAUUGGAUGUGGUUUUAAACAGUUAGUCUUCAUAAGAGUCAAAUGCUUUUAUGUUUAAGGAUAAGCUGUGAAUGUACCAAGUUUACUUGGAAAUUGUGUGAUUUCACGCUGCUGAAAAAAGUUUCGUAGGAAGAAAAUAUUGCCCGUACCGCAAACCGACACAGGUACUCGAGUGGAGAACACUAAGGUGAGCGAGUGAACUAUUGUUAAGGAACUCUGCAAAAUGAGUCCGUAACUUCGGAAGAAGGACUGCUGGUUUUAUACCAGCCGCAGCAAAUAGGCCCAAACAACUGUUUAUCAAAAACACAGGUUUCUGCAAAAUCGUAAGAUGAAGUAUAGGGGCUGACGCCUGCCCAGUGCUGGAAGGUUAAAAGGAGGACUUAGCUUCGGCGAAGGUCUUAAUUGAAGCCCCAGUGAACGGCGGCCGUAACUAUAACGGUCCUAAGGUAGCGAAAUUCCUUGUCGGGUAAGUUCCGACCCGCAUGAAAGGCGUAAUGAUUUGGGCGCUGUCUCAACAAUAGACUCGGUGAAAUUUAAAUUCCAGUGAAGAUGCUGGGUACCCGCGACAGGACGGAAAGACCCCGUGGAGCUUUACUGUAGUUUGAUAUUGAAUGUUUGUGCUGCAUGUGCAGGAUAGGUAGGAGACUUUGAAGUCGGAACGCUAGUUUCGAUUGAGUCACCCUUGAGAUACUACCUCUGUUGUAUGAACGUUCUAACUCUGAUCAGUUAUCCUGAUCGAAGACAGUGUCUGGCAGGCAGUUUGACUGGGGCGGUCGCCUCCUAAAAGAUAACGGAGGCGCUCAAAGGUUUGCUCAGAAUGGUUGGAAAUCAUUCGUAGCGUGUAAAGGCAUAAGCAAGCUUGACUGUGAGACUGACAAGUCGAGCAGGUACGAAAGUAGGACUUAGUGAUCCGGUGGUUCCGUAUGGAAGGGCCAUCGCUCAACGGACAAAAGCUACCCCGGGGAUAACAGGCUCAUCUCCCCCAAGAGUCCACAUCGACGGGGAGGUUUGGCACCUCGAUGUCGGCUCAUCGCAUCCUGGGGCUGUAGUCGGUCCCAAGGGUUGGGCUGUUCGCCCAUUAAAGCGGUACGCGAGCUGGGUUCAGAACGUCGUGAGACAGUUCGGUCCCUAUCCGUCGUGGGCGCAGGAAAUUUGAGAGGAUCUGUCCUUAGUACGAGAGGACCGGGAUGGACAUACCUCUGGUGUACCAGUUGUUCUGCCAAGAGCACCGCUGGGUAGCUACGUAUGGAUUAGAUAAUCGCUGAAAGCAUCUAAGUGAGAAACUAACCUCGAGAUGAGAUUUCCCAUUCGUCAGAAGUAAGACCCCUGAGAGACGAUCAGGUAGAUAGGCUAGAAGUGGAAGUGUAGUGAUGCAUGGAGCGGACUAGUACUAAUAGGUCGAGGACUUAACCAAG